AUUGAACGCUGGCGGUAUGCUUAACACAUGCAAGUCGAACGGAAACGAAACUAGCUUGCUAGUAGGCGUCGAGUGGCGGACGGGUGAGUAACGCGUAGGAAUCUGCCUGAUAGUGGGGGAUAGCCCGAAGAAAUUCGGAUUAAUACCGCAUAAUCUAUUCGUAGUAAAGUGGGGGACUUUCGAGCCUCACGCUAUCAGAUGAGCCUGCGUAAGAUUAGCUUGUUGGUAGGGUAAAAGCCUACCAAGGCAACGAUCUUUAGCUGGUCUGAGAGGAUGAUCAGCCACAUCGGGACUGAGACACGGCCCGAACUCCUACGGGAGGCAGCAGUGGGGAAUAUUGGACAAUGGGGGCAACCCUGAUCCAGCAAUACCGCGUGUGUGAAGAAGGCCCGAGGGUUGUAAAGCACUUUCAAUUGUGAAGAAAAGUUAGCGGUUAAUAACCGUUGACCUUGACGUUAACUAUAGAAGAAGCACCGGCUAACUCCGUGCCAGCAGCCGCGGUAAUACGGAGGGUGCAAGCGUUAAUCGGAAUUACUGGGCGUAAAGCGUGCGUAGGCGGUUUAUUAAGUCAGAUGUGAAAGCCCCGGGCUUAACCUGGGAACUGCAUUUGAAACUGGUCAACUAGAGUAUGGUAGAGGAAAGUGGAAUUUCUGGUGUAGCGGUGAAAUGCGUAGAUAUCAGAAGGAACAUCAAUGGCGAAGGCAGCUUUCUGGACCAAUACUGACGCUGAGGUACGAAAGCGUGGGUAGCAAACAGGAUUAGAUACCCUGGUAGUCCACGCCGUAAACGAUGAUAACUAGCCGUUGGGGGGAUUUACCCCUUAGUGGCGAAGCUAACGCGUUAAGUUAUCCGCCUGGGGAGUACGGCCGCAAGGCUAAAACUCAAAGGAAUUGACGGGGACCUGCACAAGCGGUGGAGCAUGUGGUUUAAUUCGAUGCAACGCGAAGAACCUUACCUGGUCUUGACAUCCUGCGAACUUUCUAGAAAUAGAUUGGUGCCUUCGGGAACGCAGUGACAGGUGCUGCAUGGCUGUCGUCAGCUCGUGUCGUGAGAUGUUGGGUUAAGUCCCGUAACGAGCGCAACCCCUAUCCUUAUUUGCCAGCACAUUAUGGUGGGAACUAUAAGGAGACUGCCGGUGAUAAACCGGAGGAAGGCGGGGACGACGUCAAGUCAUCAUGGCCCUUACGAGCAGGGCUACACACGUGCUACAAUGGGAAGGACAAAGAGCCGCGAAGCCGCGAGGUGUAGCUAAUCUCAUAAAUCUUUUCGUAGUCCGGAUUGGAGUCUGCAACUCGACUCCAUGAAGUCGGAAUCGCUAGUAAUCGUAGAUCAGAAUGCUACGGUGAAUACGUUCCCGGGUCUUGUACACACCGCCCGUCAUACCAUGGGAGUGGGUUGCACCAGAAGUGGCUAGUCUAACUUAGUGAGGACGGUCACCACGGUGUGAUUCAUGACUGGGGUAAAGUCGUAACAAGGUAGCCCUACCGGAAGGUGGGGCUGGAUCACCUCCUUA
This 1513-nucleotide ribosomal RNA is filed under the name uncultured marine bacterium. Its description in RNAcentral is "16S ribosomal RNA". It matches the Rfam family "Bacterial small subunit ribosomal RNA". The record is from RNAcentral.